Paramuricea clavata is the source of this 270-nucleotide non-coding RNA. The record is from the annotation of a GenBank genome assembly. Lineage: Eukaryota; Metazoa; Cnidaria; Anthozoa; Malacalcyonacea; Plexauridae.
UUCAAGACAACAAAUCGACGUAACAAAGGCGACUGAGUUAUUUCAUAAGAACAUUAGUGUUGGACCAGAAUAUAUUUGCACCUGUUGUGACCAAUUAUGGUAUAGAUCAUCUGUCACUGAGUGCAAUGUUUCUUUAUAUAAAUCUUGUUCAAAAGAAAUCCUUAAUUUAUGUCUGACUGGUCUGAAGAGCAUUGAUAACACUGAAUGGAUAUGUGGUACAUGUCACUCAAACUUAAAGGUUGGUAAACUUCCAAGUUGCGCAAAGGCAAA